AGCAGCCGCGGUAAGACAGAGGGUGCAAACGUUGUUCGGAAUUACUGGGCGUAAAGCGUGCGCAGCGGUUCGGAGAGAAAGAUGUGAAAUCCCAGAGCUUAACUUUGGAACUGCAUUUUUAACUACCGGGCUAGAGUGUGUCAGAGGGAGGUGGAAUUCCGCGUGUAGCAGUGAAUGCGUAGAGAUGCGGAGGAACACCGAUGGCCGAAGGCAGCCUCCUGGGAUAACACUGACGCUCAUGCACGAAAGCGUGGGGAGCAAACAGGAUUAGAACCCUGGUAGUCACGCCCUAACGAUGUCACUAGCUGUUGGGGCUUCGGGCCUUGGUAGCGCAGCUAACGCGUGGAAGUUGACCGCCUGGGAGGUACGGUCGCAAGAUUAAACUCCAAAGGAAUUGACGGGAACCCGCACAAGCGGGUGGAUGAUGUGAUAUUCGAUGCAACGCGAAAAACCUACCUAACCUUGACAUGUCUGGAAUCCGAAGAGAUUUGGGAGUGCUCGCAAGAGAACCCGGAACACAGGUGCUGCAUGGCUGUCGUCAGCUCGUGUCGUGAGAUGUUGGGUUAAGUCCCGCAACGAGCGCAACCCUUGUCAUUAGUUGCUACGAAAGGGCACUCUAAUGAGACUGCCGGUGACAAACCGGAGGAAGGUGGGGAUGACGUCAAGUCCUCAUGGCCCUUAUGGGUAGGGCUUCACACGUCAUACAAUGGUCGGGACAGAGGGCUGCCAACCCGCGAGGGGGAGCCAAUCCCAGAAACCCGAUCGUAGUCCGGAUCGCAGUCUGCAACUCGACUGCGUGAAGUCGGAAUCGCUAGUAAUCGCGGAUCAGCAUGUCGCGGUGAAUACGUUCCCGGGUCUUGUACACACCGCCCGUCACACCAUGGGAGUGGGUUUUACCAGAAGUAGUUAGCCUAACCGCAAGGAGGGCGAUUACCACGGUAGGAUUCAUGACUGGGGUGAAGUCGUAACAAGGUAGCCGUAUCGGAAGGUGCGGCUGGAUCACCUCCUU
Molecule: ribosomal RNA, 1009 nt
Filed under: uncultured bacterium
Lineage: Bacteria
Description: bacterial SSU rRNA
Rfam family: Bacterial small subunit ribosomal RNA
Source: RNAcentral